Molecule: ribosomal RNA, 466 nt
Filed under: uncultured bacterium
Lineage: Bacteria
Description: partial 16S ribosomal RNA
Rfam family: Bacterial small subunit ribosomal RNA
Source: RNAcentral
GAUGAACGCUGGCGGCGUGCUUCCCACAUGCAAGUCGAACGAUGAAGCCCAGCUUGCUGGGUGGAUUAGUGGCGAACGGGUGAGUAACACGUGAGUAACCUGCCCUUAACUCUGGGAUAAGCCUGGGAAACUGGGUCUAAUACCGGAUAGGAGCGUCCACCGCAUGGUGGGUGUUGGAAAGAUUUAUCGGUUUUGGAUGGACUCGCGGCCUAUCAGCUUGUUGGUGAGGUAAUGGCUCACCAAGGCGACGACGGGUAGCCGGCCUGAGAGGGUGACCGGCCACACUGGGACUGAGACACGGCCCAGACUCCUACGGGAGGCAGCAGUGGGGAAUAUUGCACAAUGGGCGCAAGCCUGAUGCAGCGACGCCGCGUGAGGGAUGACGGCCUUCGGGUUGUAAACCUCUUUCAGUAGGGAAGAAGCGAAAGUGACGGUACCUGCAGAAGAAGCACCGGCUAACUACGUG